RNAcentral lists this ribosomal RNA (400 nucleotides) under uncultured bacterium. RNAcentral's name for it is "bacterial SSU rRNA". It matches the Rfam family "Bacterial small subunit ribosomal RNA", at positions 355 to 748 of the family's 1533-position model. The record is from RNAcentral.
CUAAGAAUAUUCCGCAAUGGACGAAAGUCUGACGGAGCGACGCCGCGUGGAUGAUGAAGGCCGAAAGGUUGUAAAAUCCUUUUGUCGGGGGAGAAUAAGGCGGGGAGGAAAUGCCCUGUCGAUGACAUGAACCGGCGAAUAAGCCCCGGCUAACUACGUGCCAGCAGCCGCGGUAACACGUAGGGGCGAGCGUUGUUCGGAAUUACUGGGCGUAAAGGGCAUGUAGGCGGCCCGGCAAGCCUGGCGUGAAAGACCGCAGCUCAACUGCGGGGAUGCGCUGGGAACUGGUGGGCUUGAGUUACGGAGAGGGAGCUGGAAUUCCUGGUGUAGGGGUGAAAUCUGUAGAGAUCAGGAAGAACACCGAUGGCGAAGGCAAGCUUCUGGCCGAUAACUGACGCUG